GGGAGUGUAGCUCAAUGAAUAGAGCCUCGAGUUUCUACCUCGAUGGUUGUAGGUUUGAAUCCUACCACUCUCG
Molecule: transfer RNA, 73 nt
Filed under: Cylindrospermum stagnale PCC 7417
Lineage: Bacteria; Bacillati; Cyanobacteriota; Cyanophyceae; Nostocales; Nostocaceae
Description: tRNA-Arg (TCT) (tRNA-Arg-TCT-2-1)
Rfam family: tRNA
About the family: Transfer RNA (tRNA) molecules are approximately 80 nucleotides in length. Their secondary structure includes four short double-helical elements and three loops (D, anti-codon, and T loops).
Source: Rfam by way of RNAcentral